Molecule: ribosomal RNA, 206 nt
Filed under: uncultured bacterium
Lineage: Bacteria
Description: partial 16S ribosomal RNA
Rfam family: Bacterial small subunit ribosomal RNA
Source: RNAcentral
ACGCUCGACACCUACGUGAGGCAGCAGUGGGGAAUAUUGGGCAAUGGGCGCAAGCCUGACCCAGCAACGCCGCGUGAAGGAAGAAGGCUUUCGGGUUGUAAACUUCUUUUGUCAGGGAACAGUAGAUGAGGGUACCUGACGAAUAAGCUCCGGCUAACUACGUGCCAGCAGCCGNGGUAAGUACUGAGCGGGCGUGGCGAACGGAC